AACGAACGCUGGCGGCAUGCCUAACACAUGCAAGUCGAACGAGACCUUCGGGUUUAGUGGCGCACGGGUGCGUAACGCGGGGGAACCUGCCCGUAGGUUCGGAAUAACUCCCCGAAAGGGGUGCGAAUACCGGAGAAUGUCUUCGGACCAAAGAUUUAUCGCCUUUGGAUGGGCCCGCGUUGGAUUAGCUAGUUGGGAGGGUAAAAGCCUACCAAGGCGACGAUCCAUAGCUGGUUUGAGAGGAUGAGCCGCCACACUGGGACUGAGACACGGCCCAGACUCCUACGGGAGGCAGCAGUGGGGAAUAUUGGACUAUGGGCGAUGGCCUGAACCAGCACUGCCGCGUGAGUGAUGAAGGCCUUAGGGUUGUAAAGCUCUUUUACCCGGGAUGAUAAUGACGGUACCGGGAGAAUAAGCUCCGGCUAACUCCGUG
This 433-nucleotide ribosomal RNA is filed under the name uncultured bacterium. RNAcentral's name for it is "partial 16S ribosomal RNA". It matches the Rfam family "Bacterial small subunit ribosomal RNA", at positions 29 to 507 of the family's 1533-position model. The record is from RNAcentral.